This 75-nucleotide transfer RNA is filed under the name [Clostridium] scindens. RNAcentral describes it as "tRNA-Pro(tgg)". It matches the Rfam family "tRNA". From Rfam's summary of the family: Transfer RNA (tRNA) molecules are approximately 80 nucleotides in length. Lineage: Bacteria; Bacillati; Bacillota; Clostridia; Lachnospirales; Lachnospiraceae. The record is from RNAcentral. RNAcentral also lists the same sequence under 2 other names.
CGGGGUGUGGCUCAGUUUGGCUAGAGCGCCUGGUUUGGGACCAGGAGGUCGCAAGUUCGAAUCCUGUCACCCCGA